CGCUGGCGGCGUGCCUAAUACAUGCAAGUCGAACGAACUGUGGAAAGCUUGCUUUCAGAGUUAGUGGCGAACGGGUGAGUAACACGUAAGUAACCUAGCUAUUAGACGAGGAUAACUACUGGAAACGGUAGCUAAGACUGGAUAUGAUAGAAAUAUUUAAAGGAUGCUAAGGCAUCGCUAAUAGAGGGGCUUGCGGCGCAUUAGCUAGUUGGUAGGGUAGAAGCCAACCAAGGCGAUGAUGCGUAGCCGACCUGAGAGGGUGACCGGCCACACUGGGACUGAGACACGGCCCAGACUCCUACGGGAGGCAGCAGUAGGGAAUCUUCGGCAAUGGACGGAAGUCUGACCGAGCAACGCCGCGUGAAGUGAAGAAAGUUUUCGGAUUGUAAAGCUCUGUUAUUAGGGAAGAGAGGCUCUAGGAGGAAAUGCUUAGGGAUUGACGGUACCUAAUGAGGAAGCCACGGCUAACUACGUGCCAGCAGCCGC
This 486-nucleotide ribosomal RNA is filed under the name uncultured bacterium. RNAcentral describes it as "bacterial SSU rRNA". It matches the Rfam family "Bacterial small subunit ribosomal RNA", at positions 34 to 518 of the family's 1533-position model. The record is from RNAcentral.